AUGGUCUUUACAUGGUCUGCAAGUCACAUUUCAUUCUGUACCAUAUACACCUUGGUUUUUUUAACUUCAAUUUCAUUUUGCUCUGCUGGAGAUACCAUAACAUUCAGCAAUCCAAUUAAUGACAGCCGGAAAGAAUCUCUUGUAUCGGCCGAAAAAAGAUUCGAGCUUGGUUUUUUCACCCCUAAUGGAAGCUCUAAGCAUAGACGAUAUGUAGGGAUAUGGUAUAAGUCAAGUCCAAGUGUAGUUGUAUGGGUUGCUAACCGCGAUAACCCGCUGUCCAAAACCACUGGGGCUUUUAUCCUUACAGACGAUGGCGACCUACAGGUGCUGGAGGAUGCUAAAACGUUGUGGUCAGCUAAAAAAGGUGGAUCAACUUCUUUUAAUAGGACAGUGAAGCUCCUGGAUUCUGGGAACUUAGUUCUUAUUGAAGGUCAAGUUGUCUCAGAAUCAAAAGCAAAUAUCCUCUGGCAAAGCUUUGAGAAUCCAACUGAUACAUUUCUUCCUGUAAUGAAGAUGAGUGCAACGAUGCUUCUGACUUCUUGGAAAAGUCAAGACGACCCUGCCCCAGGGGACUUCAUUUUCCAGAAAGAUCAAGACGGAGAAAACCAGUACAUUGUCGAGCAAAAAACUAGUCCAUAUUGGAAGAGUGGAGUAUCAGGGAGCCUCUUUUACUCUGAUAAUAAUUUCCUUGCCAUAUUUUCCUUGCUAUCUAAUUUCAGUAGGAAAAAAAUGCCCACAAAAUUCAAUCUUACCAAGUCUAUUCAAAUCCCUGAAAGUUUUCAUUAUUAUAGACUGGUAAUGAAUUUCACUGGUAGGGUAGAGUUUUAUAUUUGGGACAAUGAGAAAAACUCAUGGUCUUUGAUCUGGUGGGAACCAGAAGAUAAAUGUAGCGUGUUCGAUGCUUGUGGGGACUUUGGUAUCUGCAAAUCUUGGGAAUGGGCCAUUAAUGUGCAAGUGUCUACCUGGGUUUGAGCCUAGGUCAGAAGGCUGCUUUAGAAAAUCCCCCAUAUGCAAUAAUAAUAAUGUUAUGGCUGAUCACUUUUUGAGCUUGAAGAUGAUGAAAGUGGGAACUCAAAGUACCACAAAAGAAAAAGGGAGUGCAGAUGAAUGCAAAGAGGAAUGCCGUAGCGACUGUAACUGCCAGGCUUAUUCAUAUGUAAUUACAGAAAGGAUACGUCACGGCACAUGCUAUUUCUGGUCAAAUGAAAUUAAAAAUAUACAGGAGCAGAUAGAAGGGGGCAUUGACCUCUAUGUUCGUGUAAAGCUUUCUGAUAUAGAACUGACAAAAAGAGAUUGUGAGCCUUGUGGCACUACAAUAAUUCCCUAUCCACUAAGCAUCAGACCAGAUUGUGGUGAUCCUAUGUACUCACAUUUCAACUGCAACGAUACCUCUGGCCAAGUUAGCUUUGGGCCGGCUGGUGGUACAUAUCCAGUCACAAUCAUUCACCCUCAAGAACAAACAUUUACAAUUAGAGUGAAUAAUUAUACAGCUAUUGAUGUAGUGAGAAAGCUUCUGGAGCUCAAUCACUUGCCAUUUAAUGUGACCAAAUCAAAUCUUUCAUCUAAAGAUGGAUCGUUAAAUGAAGUAGAAAUCCGGUGGAAGCCUCUAUUAUCUCCAAUCUGCAAUUCAGUGAAAGACUGCGAUGAUUGGCCACAUUCAACUUGCCACACAAUGAAAGGUGGAACAAAAAGGUGCCUUUGCAACACAGAGUUCCAAUGGGAUCCCUCAAAUUUCAAUUGCAACCCAGUUGUGCACAACGAGCUUGCAGUGUCUCACAAAAAAAAGAACCUAUUACGUGCAAUUAUCCCAGUGAUUGUUGCAACUUUGAUGGUUAUUGCAUGCUGUUACUUAUAUUAUUUAAGAAGAAGAAAAGUGGCCAACGGACAAGAAUCAGUUAACAGGGAAAGAAAUCAAGGAAACGCAACAUUUCGACUGUAUGACAGUGAACGAAAAGUCAAAGACUUGAUAGAUUCAAACCAAUUUAGAGAAGAUGAGAAAAAAGGCAUAGAUGUACCAUUUUUCAAUUUGAAAAGCAUACUAGCUGCUACAGAUUACUUCUCAGAUACAAAAAAGCUUGGACAAGGUGGCUUUGGGCCUGUUUACAAGGGUACAUUUCCAAGCGGACAAGAAAUUGCUAUAAAGAGGCUCUCGAGUGGUUCAGGGCAAGGCUUGGAGGAAUUUAAGAAUGAGGUUGUUUUAAUUGCUAAACUUCAGCAUCGGAAUCUUGUUAGACUUUUGGGUUAUUGCAUAGAAGGAGAUGAAAAAAUGUUACUCUAUGAAUACAUGCCAAACAAGAGUUUAGACUCAUUUUCAUUUGAUCGGACUCUAUGCGUGUUACUGAACUGGAAGAUACGCUUUGACAUCAUUUUGGGAAUCGCUCGAGGGCUGCUCAAUCUUCACCAAGAUUCUAGGUUGAGGAUUAUUCAUAGAGAUUUGAAAACAAGCAAUGUUCUAUUGGAUGAGGAGAUGAGCCCCAAGAUUUCAGACUUUGGCUUGGCAAGGAUAUUUGGAGGCAAACAAAUUGAGGCAACCACAACUAGAGUAGUUGGAACUUACGGCUACAUGUCUCCAGAAUACGCAUUGGAUGGGUUUUUCUCAAUCAAAUCUGAUGCCUUCAGCUUUGGAGUAGUUGUACUUGAGGUUAUCAGUGGAAAAAGGAACACAGGAUUUCACCAGUCAGAACAUGGUCUGAGUCUUUUAGGUUAUGCAUGGAAAUUGUGGAAAGAAGGAAAGGCUUUAGAUUUAAUGGACCAAACAAUACAUGAAACUUGUAAUGCUGACAAAUUUUUGAGGUGUGUUAACAUUGGGCUUUUAUGUGUACAAGAGGACCCAAGUGAUCGUCCGACAAUGUCGAAUGUAGUUUUCAUGCUUGGUAGUGAAACUGCAACUCUCCCAACUCCUAAACAACCAGCCUAUGUUGUAAGAAGAUCCCUUUCUAGUGCAACUUCUUCUACUACUAAACCAGAAAGUUUGAAUGAAUUAACAUGUACCAUUGAAGAAGGCCGAUAAUGGUGGAUCACAUAAGGGCUCUCAUGAUUCUUGUUUUAUCUUUAUCAGUCUUGCAGAAGCUUCUAGUAUUCUCACUAUGGUUCUCAUAGGAACAAUUACGGCAUAUUUCUUGUCUGUCAUAUUGAUACUUUUUUUAUAUUGUCCCUGAUAAGUGAUAACAUUGUAUCCAAUGUAAGUCUGAUUGUUUCCUAUUUGAACCUCCUUUGUAUUUAUUGUACUUCAACUGAUUUCUGAUUGUCUCUAACUCUGACCAGCUGCCUUCAUUUAUUUAUUCCUACUAUUUGGAAGCCUAGAACUGCAUUAUUUGCAAUUUUCAUCAAGAGGUACAGUCAGUCUUACAUUUCAGCUGUACUGUUCACUGCCACACUAAGCAGGAAGAGAUUCAAGAGAAUGCUAUUCACAUGUACCAUUAGUGCACUUAUAAAGAAUAGGCAUACAUGUCAUGUCUCCAUUGUAGGUCAUUUCAAAUG
RNA transcript from Quercus lobata, 3480 nucleotides. It is a transcript of the gene named G-type lectin S-receptor-like serine/threonine-protein kinase At4g03230, with no coding region annotated. The record is from RefSeq and is a predicted model, not a curated record. Lineage: Eukaryota; Viridiplantae; Streptophyta; Magnoliopsida; Fagales; Fagaceae. The transcript has 8 exons.